Molecule: long non-coding RNA, 732 nt
Filed under: Pan troglodytes (chimpanzee)
Lineage: Eukaryota; Metazoa; Chordata; Mammalia; Primates; Hominidae
Description: lincRNA
Source: RNAcentral
GCUCCCAACAAAACAGUUCCAUCUUUGGCUAGGCCUUUGGUAUUUCAAGGCGCUGCCAGUGGGGAGAGAUGCCGCGUGCCCGAGAGGCUCUGGGAGGCACCAAAGAAGGCCCAGAGAGGUUUAACAACUUCCUCAGAAUCACACAGCUUCCAAAUGGUUGGGUUGGGUUUACAUUUAGGCGGUCUUGCUCCAGAGCCAGUGCACCUAACCUUUGCAAGCCACGAACCUCAACAAAGUGGAGAAGGAAACGCUGGGAAAUUUGGAAGUCAGACAUGGCAAGUUUUUCUAACUGUAAGAAGUGGACAAUAGCCUAUGAUCUACAGUGCCCAUUCCAACUCAGAGAAUCUUUACAUCUGGAGAUCUAUAGCAGGGCUAUCCCUAGUGACAUGCGUGAAGAAGCUUGGAAAUGGUGCUGGGUAGGAGCUGAGUGUGCAGAAUGUGGAAAGGCAUUCUAAACCAAAGGAAGAACACGAGUAAAGAUGAUGAAGCAGGGAUAAGGCUAAAAUGAAAUUUGUGAUCUGAUCCACAUACAAGCACAGUGUAGUACAGCUGGAAUAUAGAGAAGAGCUUGAAGACUUAUGAGCAACUAUCCCGGUACUCUUGGAGGCUCUGCAACCACAGUUUGAGAAACUCCGCGUUCAAAGUUAAAAACUGUCACCUGAAUAGUUAAUAACAUCAAAGAUUGUGAAAGCAAGUAUAAAUAACACAGAGAUUAAAAUAAUGAGGCAGGAU